This is a long non-coding RNA of Daphnia pulicaria, 388 nucleotides long. RefSeq lists it as uncharacterized. Lineage: Eukaryota; Metazoa; Arthropoda; Branchiopoda; Diplostraca; Daphniidae. The transcript is spliced from 2 exons. The record is from RefSeq and is a predicted model, not a curated record.
AAGGUAACCUAACUGAUAACGCAGAUGAUCCGCUCUGUGGCUGUACAAUUGUGGACAAAGACCACGAGGCUACAAUCACGACGCACGGGUUGAAGAGCUACUUCGAGUUACUUCAUAGAUAUGGUCAUGGAGGAAUUGUAAACCAACAAUACGACAGGCGUGGUAUUCUUCUUUUGAGAAAUCCAAUGGAUGUAGUUUUUACUUACAAUAAUUGGGUUUACGGCGGUAAAAAAGGCCUUGCCCCACCCGAAUCUUUUAAAGGUUCAACUUGGGACGAAACUGUAGACUAUGUUUCGUUUGCCUGGGCAGACCAUGCCAUUCGCUGGAUAGAACAAAUAGAGUAUGGAACUGUUCUCUUUUACGAAAGAUUAAUAAAUGAAUCAGCAGA